Acanthosepion pharaonis is the source of this 114-nucleotide non-coding RNA. NCBI's taxonomy places the organism in Eukaryota, Metazoa, Mollusca, Cephalopoda, Sepiida, Sepiidae. The record is from the annotation of a GenBank genome assembly.
UUACGGUCACAUCAUGGUGAAACACCGGUUCCCGUAAAAUUACUGAAGUUAAGCAAAGUCGAGCCUGAUCAAUAAUUAGAUGGGUGACUGCUUAGGAAUAACAUGUACUGUAAG